AUUGAACGCUGGCGGCAGGCCUAACACAUGCAAGUCGAACGGUAACAGGAAGCGGCUUGCUGCUUUGCUUACGCGUGGCGGAGGGGUGUGUCAUGUCUAGGACACUGCCUGAUGAAGGGGGUUACCUCCUGGAAACGGUACCUAAUACCGCAUAACGUCGCAACCCCAAGGUUCAGUACCUUCAGGCCUCUUUCCAUCCGCUUUUCCCUGAUGCCGCUCGGUAUUAGCUGGUUGGUCAGGUAACGGCUUACCAAGGCGACGAUUCGUAGCCGAUCUGAGAGGAUGAUCAGCCACACUGGAACUGAGACACGGUCCAGACUCCUACGGGAGGCAGCAGUAGGGAAUAUUGCACAAUGGGCGAAAGCCUGAUGGAGCCAUGCCGCGUGUAUGAAGAAGGUCUUCGGGUUGUAAAGUACUUUUAGCGGGGAGGAAGGGAGUAAAGUUAAUAUCUGUACGUAUUGACGUUACCCGCAGAAGAAGCCACGGCUAACUCCGUG
This 497-nucleotide ribosomal RNA is filed under the name uncultured bacterium. RNAcentral describes it as "partial 16S ribosomal RNA". It matches the Rfam family "Bacterial small subunit ribosomal RNA", at positions 30 to 507 of the family's 1533-position model. The record is from RNAcentral.